UACCGCAUAAGCCCACGGGUCGGCAUCGACCAGNGGAAAGGAGCAAUCCGCUUUGAGAUGGCCUCGCGUCCGAUUAGCUAGUUGGUGAGGUAAUGGCCCACCAAGGCAACGAUCGGUAGCCGGACUGAGAGGUUGAACGGCCACAUUGGGACUGAGACACGGCCCAGACUCCUACGGGAGGCAGCAUG
This 188-nucleotide ribosomal RNA is filed under the name uncultured bacterium. RNAcentral's name for it is "partial 16S ribosomal RNA". It matches the Rfam family "Bacterial small subunit ribosomal RNA", at positions 167 to 353 of the family's 1533-position model. The record is from RNAcentral.